CCAUACAAAAGCUAAUUCUUUCCGGACCUAAACUUCUCUCUAACCCAACCAGCCGCACACCCCAUUCCCCACCUUGUUGCCGUCCCAAACUCGCUGGAAAACUCACCAAAACCGGCGAGUUCACUCAACGAGCCACCAAAUGGGCCCCUCUCACUUUUCACGUCACCCGAUCCCUAACGAACCCCUGACAAGAGAAUAAUUUCUCGCUUCCUCAUACGUUUUUUUAUCUCUUGACAAAUUUGGGUAAAUGUUAGCCAUAGGAUCUGAGGAUUUUAAGAUCCUAGGCUUCCAUUUGUCCGAUUUGAUUCAAAAAGAGGGGAAAAAUUAAUUUUUGGAAAGAGGUUCUAGAGAUUUCUUGACUUGAUGAAGAGGGUUCGAGGUGAGUAUAUAUAGGUUUACACACGUUAUUUUGGGAUUUUUCGGACAAAAAAUUGGAAAAAAGUUAUAGGGUUUAAGAGAAAGCUUCUUCUCUUCUAGAUGAUUUGUCUUGAGAUUUGUCUAAGCCUUCUUUCGAAAAAAAUGUUUCUAUUUUGAGUGUAAUUGGCGUUUGAGUAUUAGUAAAGGAAGUUCAAAGGGAAAUUAUCAAAAGUAUUUAGUUUUCCUUCUCUGUUUUCUUUUAAUCCUAUAUCAAGGAAGAAAAAUCAGAAUUAAAAAUAGAGCUAAGCUGAGGUUUGAAGCUGAGUCGAGGCGUCGUUCGAACUCGAGCUCGCGGUUCCAGAUUCGUUUGUCGUUGUUCCAUUCGUUUCCGGUUGAUUUCGUUGUUCAAUCUUCUGCUUGUAUCUUCUUCCUCCGGACAGAAAUAUAUUGGAAAAUUUCACUUCAGGUAUCCUUUAUCUUUCUUACUUUUAUUAGUUGAUGGUGUUGAUCAAAGUGUAAUGAGAGCCUGGGAUAAAUAGUUAUAAUUAGUUUGAAUUUUAGCUCAAUCGGGAUAAGAUGAGUGGGUUUGAGCAUUACUAGGGGCAGAUGUUUGCGAGUUUCGUAGUGUUGAAUUUGUAUGAAUUAUUUUUCAUUACGUGUGUUCUAUUUCACUUUUGGGUCAGUUUUAACAUGCUAGAUCGCAGAUCGAGUCGAUAUUACGAUCAAUGAUUUGGUAUUUGAUUGCUUGAAAUUCCAUACAGGAGCAUUGGUAUUUGAUUGCUUGAAGUUUUACACAUGAAUAUGGAACCUAUUCGAUUAACCUUCCUGUUAUAGCUCAAGUUGAUUCGGUGUUUGAAGUUUCCUCAUCUAUUUGAUGUCAAUGACCUGUUCAUACUCUCUAAGGCAUGAGUCUUUAAGAUUUUAUCUCGAAGGUCGUUAAAGGCUAAAUUAAACUCUUACCCAUUUGAGCUUGGAGAUAGAACUUUUGUUAAAUGUUUGGUGCUGAAGCGAAAAUGCAAGAUCUAUGGUUAAUACGGUUCAACUGAUUUUUCUACAACUUGCAUGCGAUUCUUUAUUCAUUAUGCGUAUUUGUGAAGGAAUUGAGUGUAUACUGCUGCAUCCGGUUGCAUUUUCAUUGUCCAUAUCUUUUGAAAGUUCUCACCUAUUUCCUUCUAAGUAUAUGCAUAUGAACUUGUUACCUCAUCUGGCUUGCUGGUUCUAAUUAGAAAUAUUUAGGUUGGUGUCAAGAAAAGUUUUCGGUUCAUUAUUGUCUUGUUAUUCUCUCG
Molecule: long non-coding RNA, 1643 nt
Filed under: Nicotiana tabacum (common tobacco)
Lineage: Eukaryota; Viridiplantae; Streptophyta; Magnoliopsida; Solanales; Solanaceae
Description: long non-coding RNA (NTAB_LNC014677)
Source: RNAcentral